RNAcentral lists this ribosomal RNA (448 nucleotides) under uncultured bacterium. Its description in RNAcentral is "SSU rRNA". It matches the Rfam family "Bacterial small subunit ribosomal RNA", at positions 26 to 518 of the family's 1533-position model. The record is from RNAcentral.
AGAGCGAACGCUGGCGGCAGGCUUAACACAUGCAAGUCGAGCGGGCGUAGCAAUACGUCAGCGGCAGACGGGUGAGUAACGCGUGGGAACGUACCUUUUGGUUCGGAACAACCCAGGGAAACUUGGGCUAAUACCGGAUAAGCCCUUACGGGGAAAGAUUUAUCGCCGAAAGAUCGGCCCGCGUCUGAUUAGCUAGUUGGUGGGGUAAUGGCCCACCAAGGCGACGAUCAGUAGCUGGUCUGAGAGGAUGAUCAGCCACAUUGGGACUGAGACACGGCCCAAACUCCUACGGGAGGCAGCAGUGGGGAAUAUUGGACAAUGGGCGCAAGCCUGAUCCAGCCAUGCCGCGUGAGUGAUGAAGGCCCUAGGGUUGUAAAGCUCUUUUGUGCGGGAAGAUAAUGACGGUACCGCAAGAAUAAGCCCCGGCUAACUUCGCGCCAGCAGCCGC